This 213-nucleotide long non-coding RNA is filed under the name Elaeis guineensis (African oil palm). RNAcentral describes it as "long non-coding RNA (EGUI_LNC026947)". Lineage: Eukaryota; Viridiplantae; Streptophyta; Magnoliopsida; Arecales; Arecaceae. The record is from RNAcentral.
AGCAACUGUCGAUAGCACUGAAUCGAGAAGAUUGCGACCCAAUUGAGGUCGCUGUAGAAGUGACAUUCACCCCACAGUGUCUCCCUCAGCCGAAGUUGAUGGGGCUACAGAGGACAGCGGGGCCACGGAGGCAUUUGUCGGCUUGCGGCUCGGCUCCUUGGGAGAAGGUGUAGGUCAAAAAUUAUUCUUUUUUCUUAUCUCGAUUGUUUGGCG